CGGACGGGUGAGUAACGCGUGGGGAACCUGCCCUGUACCGGGGGAUAGCAGCCGGAAACGGCUGAUAAUACCGCAUAAGCGCACGAAUGUCGCAUGACAUGGUGUGAAAAAACUCCGGUGGUAUAGGAUGGACCCGCGUCUGAUUAGCCAGUUGGUGGGGUAAAAGCCUACCAAAGCGAAGAUCAGUAGCCGAGUUGAGAGACUGACCGGCCACAUUGGGACUGAGACACGGCCCAGACUCCUACGGGAGGCAGCAGCC
RNAcentral lists this ribosomal RNA (259 nucleotides) under uncultured bacterium. RNAcentral describes it as "partial 16S ribosomal RNA". It matches the Rfam family "Bacterial small subunit ribosomal RNA", at positions 99 to 355 of the family's 1533-position model. The record is from RNAcentral.